GACAGCAGUAGCCACGGUAAUACGAAGGGGGCUAGCGUUGUUCGGAAUUACUGGGCGUAAAGCGCACGUAGGCGGAUAUUUAAGUCAGGGGUGAAAUCCCGCAGCUCAACUGCGGAACUGCCUUUGAUACUGGGUAUCUUGAGUAUGGAAGAGGUAAGUGGAAUUGCGAGUGUAGAGGUGAAAUUCGUAGAUAUUCGCAGGAACACCAGUGGCGAAGGCGGCUUACUGGUCCAUUACUGACGCUGAGGUGCGAAAGCGUGGGGAGCAAACAGGAUUAGAGACCCCUGUAGUCCCUGUCUCUUAUAC
This 306-nucleotide ribosomal RNA is filed under the name uncultured bacterium. Its description in RNAcentral is "partial 16S ribosomal RNA". It matches the Rfam family "Bacterial small subunit ribosomal RNA", at positions 505 to 807 of the family's 1533-position model. The record is from RNAcentral.